CAGCAGCCGCGGUAAUACGAAGGGGGCUAGCGUUGCUCGGAAUUACUGGGCGUAAAGGGAGCGUGGGCGGAUCGUUUAGUCAGGGGUGAAAUCCCGGGGCUCAACCUCGGAACUGCCUUUGAUACUGGCGAUCUUGAGUAUGGGAGAGGUGUGUGGAACUCCGAGUGUAGAGGUGAAAUUCGUAGAUAUUCGGAAGAACACCAGUGGCGUAGGCGACACACUGGCCCAUUACUGACGCUGAGGCUCGAAAGCGUGGGGAGCAAACAGGAUUAGAUACCCCGGUAGUCCCUGUCUCUUAUAA
RNAcentral lists this ribosomal RNA (301 nucleotides) under uncultured bacterium. RNAcentral describes it as "partial 16S ribosomal RNA". It matches the Rfam family "Bacterial small subunit ribosomal RNA", at positions 509 to 809 of the family's 1533-position model. The record is from RNAcentral.